Dreissena polymorpha is the source of this 544-nucleotide long non-coding RNA. RefSeq lists it as uncharacterized. NCBI's taxonomy places the organism in Eukaryota, Metazoa, Mollusca, Bivalvia, Myida, Dreissenidae. The record is from RefSeq and is a predicted model, not a curated record. The transcript is spliced from 2 exons.
AAUUUCUUCAGCGACAAUCCAGAUCCGAUUGAGUUUAUCGAGGAGACGAGCGAUAACGAGGAGGAGGAGUCUAUGGCUUCACGCAGGCGACGCAAGAAGAAUUAUGGAAACAAUUUCUACGAUGUUAUUUGAUAAAAUGUGGACUCAGACCAGAAAGGCCCCUGAAGCCGAGGGUAAACAUCGAUGUGACCAACUAUCGAACCCCCAGCGGCAAGUUUUACUGCCCGAUGUGUGACACAACUUUGAACACAGAGAUACAGUUUGCUCAACAUACCCAGAGCAAGCAACAUAGAUCGAAACAAUUGGACAAAAAGUAUCGAGAUUUAAACAAGUCUUGAACAAUAUUGUGUUGUUCUCAUUUUAAUUUCAUAUUGUUUUUAAUUGAAUUUGUGAAUGAAUAAUUUCCUAUCAAUGUACUACUUUGUUUUGCUUCUUUUCCAUAUUGUUUUGUUAAGGUCCUGCUUAAGGUAUGUGAAUCCGUCAUUUUUCAUUGUAAAUAUUACAUGGAUGAAUCCAUAAAUAAAAACGGAUUAUAGAUAAAUAA